AUGAACGCUGGCGGCGUGCCUAAUACCUGCAAGUCGAGCGAACAGACGAGGAGCUUGCUCCUCUGACGUUAGCGGCGGACGGGUGAGUAACACGUGGAUAACCUACCUAUAAGACUGGGAUAACUUCGGGAAACCGGAGCUAAUACCGGAUAAUAUAUUGAACCGCAUGGUUCAAUAGUGAAAGACGGUUUUGCUGUCACUUAUAGAUGGAUCCGCGCCGCAUUAGCUAGUUGGUAAGGUAACGGCUUACCAAGGCAACGAUGCGUAGCCGACCUGAGAGGGUGAUCAGCCACACUGGAACUGAGACACGGUCCAGACUCCUACGGGAGGCAGCAGUAGGGAAUCUUCCGCAAUGGGCGAAAGCCUGACGGAGCAACGCCGCGUGAGUGAUGAAGGUCUUCGGAUCGUAAAACUCUGUUAUUAGGGAAGAACAAAUGUGUAAGUAACUAUGCACGUCUUGACGGUACCUAAUCAGAAAGCCACGGCUAACUACGUG
This 496-nucleotide ribosomal RNA is filed under the name uncultured bacterium. Its description in RNAcentral is "partial 16S ribosomal RNA". It matches the Rfam family "Bacterial small subunit ribosomal RNA", at positions 29 to 507 of the family's 1533-position model. The record is from RNAcentral.